CCCUUAGAUGUCCUGGGCCGCACGCGUGCUACACUGAUGCAUACAGCGAGUACUUUCCAGCUCCGCGAGGCAGCUGGUAAUCAGCAAUAUGCAUCGUGCUGGGGAUAGAUCUUUGGAAUUAUAGAUCUUGAACGAGGAAUUCCUAGUAAGCGCAAGGCAUUAGCUUGCGCUGAUUAAGUCCCUGCCCUUUGUACACACCGCCCGUCGCUCCUACCGAUUUCGAGUGAUUCGGUGAACCUUUUGGACAGCGUCUGUCCUCGUGUCAGAUGCUGAAAGUCAAGUAAACCAUAUCACUUAGAGGAAGGAGAAGUCGUAACA
This 318-nucleotide ribosomal RNA is filed under the name uncultured eukaryote. RNAcentral describes it as "partial 18S ribosomal RNA". It matches the Rfam family "Eukaryotic small subunit ribosomal RNA", at positions 1470 to 1796 of the family's 1831-position model. The record is from RNAcentral.